This 898-nucleotide long non-coding RNA is filed under the name Homo sapiens (human). Its description in RNAcentral is "non-protein coding lnc-LMBRD1-5:5". Lineage: Eukaryota; Metazoa; Chordata; Mammalia; Primates; Hominidae. The record is from RNAcentral.
CAGCUGCGGUGCGCCCCGCCGCCCGCCAGAGGCUCGGCUCGCGCGGCGCGGCCGCUGCGACUUCCUGGAGUUCUGCCUGCCGGGGGCGCGGGCGGGUGUGUGAGAGAGAAGGCGAAGGGAGCCGCGGGGUGGGAGAGGAGGGAGUCCCGGCGGGAGGGCGGGGGAGAGGCUGGCGGGAGGGGGGCUCCACGGAGCUCCAGCCAGGGCCGCGGUUCGCCUGCACGUCACGGCUACUCAAACCCAAGCACGUCCCGAAAGCGGUAUUUUCUGCGUCUGGGAGGUUUUUGCAUCCUCAGUUCCCACCGCUGGGGCUGGCGGCGACCAACUAAGUCCCACUUUAUCAUUAAUGAUGACAAUAACUAAGGCUGCCAGGAACAGCACAUCUGCUGAGCUUUAUCAACACCAGAUUCUCUCAUUUUGCCUUCUGGAUCUCCAUGCUUUUUUAUACCAACAAACAAGAGGAAGAAUAUUCUCUACCCACUUCCUUGACUGAAGCCUGCUCUUUUAUGAAGACAUGGCAUCUCUUCCAACCGUGUCAAACAGAUGCAAUUUAUAUGUCUGCUGCUUCCAUACCCUGAUUAAAUGGGUCAGUGGCAGAAUCAGUAUCCUUAGUCUCCCCUUUGGUUUCAAAUAUGUACUCCUUAUUUCAGUUUCAUGCUCACCUUUCUGUAGAGACCAAGGCAUCUGCCUUUGCAGCUUUACCUCUUCCUCCAGGUUAUAGUUUCCAUUCAUGGAAUCUUUUAGCUGCUGGCUGGCAGUUUUCCUGUCUACCUGACUUCCAUUCCUCUUCUCAUGACUUCAGCUCCCAUGCAGAUGUCUUAUCCUGACAUACUAGCUUCUCCAUUCUAUUUCUGUGUGUGUGUGUCUGUGUGUUUCCCUACUAGUUCAUCCACAUUUC